GGUAGGGUGGCCGAGUGUAAGGCGGCGGUUUGUAGCACCGUGCACAGAGGUUCAAGUCCUCUUUCUAUCA
Molecule: transfer RNA, 70 nt
Filed under: Rasbora einthovenii (brilliant rasbora)
Lineage: Eukaryota; Metazoa; Chordata; Actinopteri; Cypriniformes; Danionidae
Description: tRNA-Tyr
Rfam family: tRNA
About the family: Transfer RNA (tRNA) molecules are approximately 80 nucleotides in length. Their secondary structure includes four short double-helical elements and three loops (D, anti-codon, and T loops). Further hydrogen bonds mediate the characteristic L-shaped molecular structure. tRNAs have two regions of fundamental functional importance: the anti-codon, which is responsible for specific mRNA codon recognition, and the 3' end, to which the tRNAs corresponding amino acid is attached (by aminoacyl-tRNA synthetases). tRNAs cope with the degeneracy of the genetic code in two manners: having more than one tRNA (with a specific anti-codon) for a particular amino acid; and 'wobble' base-pairing, i.e. permitting non-standard base-pairing at the 3rd anti-codon position.
Source: RNAcentral